UACGUAGGGUGCAAGCGUUGUCCGGAAUUAUUGGGCGUAAAGAGCUCGUAGGCGGUCUGUCGCGUCGGCUGUGAAAACCCGGGGCUCAACCCCGGGCCUGCAGUCGAUACGGGCAGACUAGAGUGCGGUAGGGGAGACUGGAAUUCCUGGUGUAGCGGUGAAAAUGCGCAGAUAUCAGGAGGAACACCGGUGGCGAAGGCGGGUCUCUGGGCCGAUACUGACACUGAGGAGCGAAAGCGUGGGGAGCGAAACAGGA
Molecule: ribosomal RNA, 256 nt
Filed under: uncultured bacterium
Lineage: Bacteria
Description: partial 16S ribosomal RNA
Rfam family: Bacterial small subunit ribosomal RNA
Source: RNAcentral